UACAGAGGUCCCAAGCGUUGUUCGGAUUCACUGGGCGUAAAGGGUGCGUAGGUGGCGGGGUAAGUCUGAUGUGAAAUCUCCAAGCUUAACUCCGAAACUGCAUUCGAUACUGCCGUGCUUGAGGACUGGAGAGGAGACUGGAAUUUACGGUGUAGCGGUGAAAUGCGUAGAUAUCGUAAGGAAGACCAGUGGCGAAGGCGGGUCUCUGGACAGUUCCUGACGCUGAGGCACGAAGGCCAGGGGAGCAAACGGG
RNAcentral lists this ribosomal RNA (253 nucleotides) under uncultured bacterium. Its description in RNAcentral is "partial 16S ribosomal RNA". It matches the Rfam family "Bacterial small subunit ribosomal RNA", at positions 524 to 776 of the family's 1533-position model. The record is from RNAcentral.